This 546-nucleotide ribosomal RNA is filed under the name Salmonella enterica subsp. enterica serovar Enteritidis. RNAcentral describes it as "partial 23S ribosomal RNA". It matches the Rfam family "Bacterial large subunit ribosomal RNA", at positions 161 to 749 of the family's 2925-position model. Lineage: Bacteria; Pseudomonadati; Pseudomonadota; Gammaproteobacteria; Enterobacterales; Enterobacteriaceae. The record is from RNAcentral.
AAUCCAUAGGUUAAUGAGGCGAACCGGGGGAACUGAAACAUCUAAGUACCCCGAGGAAAAGAAAUCAACCGAGAUUCCCCCAGUAGCGGCGAGCGAACGGGGAGGAGCCCAGAGCCUGAAUCAGCAUGUGUGUUAGUGGAAGCGUCUGGAAAGGCGCGCGAUACAGGGUGACAGCCCCGUACACAAAAGCGCAUGUGCUGUGAGCUCGAUGAGUAGGGCGGGACACGUGGUAUCCUGUCUGAAUAUGGGGGGACCAUCCUCCAAGGCUAAAUACUCCUGACUGACCGAUAGUGAACCAGUACCGUGAGGGAAAGGCGAAAAGAACCCCGGCGAGGGGAGUGAAAAAGAACCUGAAACCGUGUACGUACAAGCAGUGGGAGCACCCUUUGGGUGUGACUGCGUACCUUUUGUAUAAUGGGUCAGCGACUUAUAUUCUGUAGCAAGGUUAACCGAAUAGGGGAGCCGGAGGGAAACCGAGUCUUAACCGGGCGUUAAGUUGCAGGGUAUAGACCCGAAACCCGGUGAUCUAGCCAUGGGCAGGUUGAA